AACGAACGCUGGCGGCGUGGAUAAGACAUGCAAGUCGAACGCUGAUUUGAGGGUAGCAAUAUUCUCAAGUCGGAGUGGCGCAAGGGUGCGUAACACGUGGGCAAUUUGCCAAGAAGUUUGGGAUAACUCGCUGAAAGGCGAGCUAAUACCGGAUGUGAUGUUUGGGAGGCAUCUCUUGAACCUUAAAGUUGGGGACCGUAAGGCCUGACGCUUCUUGAUAAGCCCGCGGCCUAUCAGCUAGUUGGUGAGGUAACGGCUCACCAAGGCUAAGACGGGUAGCUGGUCUGAGAGGACGACCAGCCUCACUGGAACUGAGAUACGGUCCAGACACCUACGGGUGGCAGCAGUCGAGAAUUUUUCUCAAUGGGCGAAAGCCUGAUGGAGCGACGCCGCGUGGGGGAUGAAUGGCUUCGGCCCGUAAACCCCUGUCAUUUGCGAACAAACCUCGUAAUUUAAAAGAUGACGAGCUGAUUGUAGCGAAAGAGGAAGGGACGGCU
RNAcentral lists this ribosomal RNA (497 nucleotides) under uncultured bacterium. Its description in RNAcentral is "bacterial SSU rRNA". It matches the Rfam family "Bacterial small subunit ribosomal RNA", at positions 29 to 498 of the family's 1533-position model. The record is from RNAcentral.